Molecule: ribosomal RNA, 530 nt
Filed under: uncultured bacterium
Lineage: Bacteria
Description: bacterial SSU rRNA
Rfam family: Bacterial small subunit ribosomal RNA
Source: RNAcentral
CUCUUGACAUCCAGAGAACUUUCCAGAGAUGGAUUGGUGCCUUCGGGAACUCUGAGACAGGUGCUGCAUGGCUGUCGUCAGCUCGUGUUGUGAAAUGUUGGGUUAAGUCCGCAACGAGCGCAACCCUUAUCCUUUGUUGCCAGCGAUUCGGUCGGGAACUCAAAGGAGACUGCCGGUGAUAAACCGGAGGAAGGUGGGGAUGACGUCAAGUCAUCAUGGCCCUUACGAGUAGGGCUACACACGUGCUACAAUGACGCAUACAAAGAGAAGCGACCUCGCGAGAGCAAGCGGACCUCACAAAGUGCGUCGUAGUCCGGAUCGGAGUCUGCAACUCGACUCCGUGAAGUCGGAAUCGCUAGUAAUCGUGGAUCAGAAUGCCACGGUGAAUACGUUCCCGGGCCUUGUACACACCGCCCGUCACACCAUGGGAGUGGGUUGCAAAAGAAGUAGGUAGCUUAACCUUCGGGAGGGCGCUUACCACUUUGUGAUUCAUGACUGGGGUGAAGUCGUAACAAGGUAGGCGUAGACGU